Non-coding RNA from Echinostoma caproni, 84 nucleotides. The record is from Rfam. Lineage: Eukaryota; Metazoa; Platyhelminthes; Trematoda; Plagiorchiida; Echinostomatidae.
GGCCUCGUAGCUCAGCUGGUAGAGCGUGCACUGCACAAAAGCAUAGGCGGCGUCCAUGCGUGGGUUCGAAUCCAACCGAAACUA